UACAGAGGGUGCGAGCGUUAAUCGGAAUUACUGGGCGUAAAGCGUGCGUAGACGGUUAUUUAAGUCGGGUGUGAAAGCCCCCGGGCUCAACCUGGGAAUUGCAUUCGAGACUGAAUAGCUAGGGUACGGUAGAGGGAAGUGGAAUUUCCGGUGUAGCGGUGAAAUGCGCAGAUAUCGGAAGGAACAUCAGUGGCGAAAGCGACUUCCUGGACCAGUACCGACGUUCAGGCACGAAAGCGUGGGGAGCAAACAGGA
RNAcentral lists this ribosomal RNA (255 nucleotides) under uncultured bacterium. RNAcentral's name for it is "partial 16S ribosomal RNA". It matches the Rfam family "Bacterial small subunit ribosomal RNA", at positions 524 to 777 of the family's 1533-position model. The record is from RNAcentral.